AAUAUACUCCCUCCGUCCCAAAAUUUUGUUUUAGAUUAGUCUAGAUACGGAUGUAUCUAUCCCAAAAUUCUUGUCUUAGAUUAGUCUAGAUACGGAUGUAUAUAAUACUAAAAUGUGACUUGAUACAUCCGUAUUUAGACAAAUCUAAGACAAGAAUUUUGGGACGGAGGGAGUAUUAA
Molecule: non-coding RNA, 179 nt
Organism: Triticum aestivum (bread wheat)
Lineage: Eukaryota; Viridiplantae; Streptophyta; Magnoliopsida; Poales; Poaceae
Source: Rfam